RNAcentral lists this long non-coding RNA (231 nucleotides) under Mytilus galloprovincialis (Mediterranean mussel). Lineage: Eukaryota; Metazoa; Mollusca; Bivalvia; Mytilida; Mytilidae. The record is from RNAcentral.
AGAUCUGUACUUAGUGUCUUUUUUGUUGUUGGGAUGUACAGGUAUACAUUAUCGUCCAAUCUGUAUUUUUGUUUAUAAGUAUUUCUAAAUGUAUCCAUUUGAUGAGUUAAGUCAAAUAACUUUUAUUGUUCGUUCGCAUGCUGUACUGUUACUGCACUGUCCCAGGUAAGGUAAACGGUUGUCAUCCAGCUAACAUGAUUAACCGCACUAUAUUCUGUAUGCAUAUGCACG